UCCCUGGUGGCUCAGACAGUAAAGAAUCUGCCUGCAAUGCGGGAGACCCAGGUUCGAUCCCUGGAUUGGGAA
Molecule: transfer RNA, 72 nt
Filed under: Bos indicus (zebu cattle)
Lineage: Eukaryota; Metazoa; Chordata; Mammalia; Artiodactyla; Bovidae
Also listed under: 4 other names
Rfam family: tRNA
About the family: Transfer RNA (tRNA) molecules are approximately 80 nucleotides in length. Their secondary structure includes four short double-helical elements and three loops (D, anti-codon, and T loops). Further hydrogen bonds mediate the characteristic L-shaped molecular structure. tRNAs have two regions of fundamental functional importance: the anti-codon, which is responsible for specific mRNA codon recognition, and the 3' end, to which the tRNAs corresponding amino acid is attached (by aminoacyl-tRNA synthetases). tRNAs cope with the degeneracy of the genetic code in two manners: having more than one tRNA (with a specific anti-codon) for a particular amino acid; and 'wobble' base-pairing, i.e. permitting non-standard base-pairing at the 3rd anti-codon position.
Source: Rfam by way of RNAcentral